This 503-nucleotide ribosomal RNA is filed under the name uncultured bacterium. RNAcentral's name for it is "bacterial SSU rRNA". It matches the Rfam family "Bacterial small subunit ribosomal RNA", at positions 8 to 526 of the family's 1533-position model. The record is from RNAcentral.
AGAGUUUGAUCCUGGCUCAGGACGAACGCUGGCGGCAUGCUUAACACAUGCAAGUCGAACGGACUGAUUCCUUCGGGAUGAAAGUUAGUGGCGAACGGGUGAGUAAUGUAUGAGCAACCUGCCUCUGUCAACGGGAUAACAGUUGGAAACGACUGCUAAUACGGUAUAUGACCACGGCACCGCAUGGUGCAGCGGUAAAAGAUUUUAUCGGACAGAGAUGGGCUCAUAUCCCAUUAGGUAGUUGGUGAGAUAACAGCCCACCAAGCCGACGAUGGGUAGCCGAGCUGAGAGGCUGAUCGGCCACAUUGGGACUGAAACACGGCCCAGACUCCUACGGGAGGCAGCAGUGGGGAAUAUUGGGCAAUGGAGGCAACUCUGACCCAGCAAUGCCGCGUGAGCGAUGAAGGUAGUUUUAUUGUAAAGCUCUUUUCUCUGGAACGAACAAAUGACGGUACCAGAGGAAUAAGCCCCGGCUAACUACGUGCCAGCCGCCGCGGUAAUAC